This is a long non-coding RNA of Acipenser ruthenus (sterlet), 2470 nucleotides long. RefSeq lists it as uncharacterized. The record is from RefSeq and is a predicted model, not a curated record. The transcript is spliced from 3 exons. NCBI's taxonomy places the organism in Eukaryota, Metazoa, Chordata, Actinopteri, Acipenseriformes, Acipenseridae.
UGCACCGAUAAUUGAAGUCGCAUUUUGAACCCACAGAUGGAUGUAUUCUGAUUGUAUGAAUAUCAUGGAGAGGUGUUUGUUUGCUUACUCUGGUGUUUAACAUAGAUUUGCGUUACAGGGAGGAUGUCAGACAAACACCUGUCAGCACUAAGAAACAAACCACAGGGCAAUGUGAAAACACGGGUUCUGGCGGAAGGCACGCCAGACCGAAGAUAAGAUCAGAGGCUCAGCUUACCACUACCACCCUGCGCUGACUCGGGAGGGGCGCAGAUGAACACUCACUGUGCUCCGACGCGUGUGCCGUCAGCCGCCCGCUUCUUUACACUCUGGAGACUCACCGUGCAGCCGCCUCAGACCUACAGCGUCGGAGGACAACGCAGCUUACAGGCAAGCACGCAGGCGCCCGCACAGACUACAGGGGUCGCUGGUGCCUGGUGAGCCGAGGAGACUCUGGCUGACCUAGCCCUCCCCCCCCCCGGACGACGCUCGGCCAAUUGAGCGCCGCCCCCUGAGAGCUCCCGUCCACCGUCGGCUGUGGAAUAGCCUGGACUCGUACCGGCGACGUCCAGGCUAUAGAGCGCAUCCUGCACUCUAGCGAGUGCUUUUACUGGAUGCGCCACUCGGGAGCCAUGUCAGUGUCAUUUGUGACUUACAAAAUUAAGUUACAUUUUAUAAUUUCUCUGUUAUCUGGUUAUAUAUCAACCACACGUGAUUACCCAACAAAAAAGCCAGUCACGCAUACGCAUUAUCAUACUUGAAAUGUAAAAUUGUUGUACAAUCGAAAACACGAUAAUGUUGCUUUAGAAAGGUAGGCAUAUCUGACCUGAUGUACUCGGCUGUGAAAUUAGAGUUGAAACAAGUAAGAUAUUUGAUAUUACAUUUGUUAGCCAGUUUCCCGGUGGCGCAAAAAGUUAGUAAGUCGUGUAAUUAGACAUGCUAGUCAAGCUCAGGAUCGAAUCCGUGCUCCUGUGAGAAAGUGUGCGUGUAGAGAAUUUGUUUUAGAUUUUAAAAAAUAAUAAUAAUUACAUUUUACAAAAUGCAAAACUUGUAUUUGUUGAUAUUUUUAAAUAAACUAAUUGGAAAAAGAGAAAGAAAUAAUAAAUGCUUCCUUCCAGGAGUAAUCUAGGCUAUAUUUCAAUGAAGCAUUGUAUGGAUUCUGGUUCAGUCAGAUCACGUGAUGUGUUGCUUCAUGCGGAACACUGUUUGCUUCAGAUGGUUCAAAACGGGUUACGUCAUUUGUUUGCUUCACAUGAAGCAGUGGUCAUUUGAAUCUCCUGAAGUAGUGAAUCACUUAAUCAUGUGACUGAUCCGAGGCAUCAAUGAGCUCCUGUGAGCGAUUUGAAGCCUCAUGAGGCAGUGAACCCAAUGUAUGAUUUGACGCCUCAAUGAAGCAAUGAACCUCGUGAAUGAUUUGACGCCGCAAUGAACCUCGUGAAUGAUUUGAAGCUCCGCACUAACGUAGUUGAAUCAGUUGAAGUUGAAUCCAAAACUCAUAGGCAUUCUAGUAUUAGGAAUAUCAUUAAUGGGUCAUUAGUUCAGUGUCUCAUCGGUGUCUCUAUGAUGGCUAGAUUAUUACAGAUUACACUAUGUAACACAAUUUUUGUUCCUGGGUAGUAAGUGUUAUUUCCUAAUUGCUUAUGCCUCAAAAGUAUAGAAAAUGGCUAUUAUGCUCCACAAACUUUGCUUUUGUGACCAGGACAGUGAUAUUUUGAAAUUUACCUAUUUCCAAUGAGAAAACGGGCAAAUUUGUGUCUUUUCGUUCACAUAAAGUCAGAAAAAAAACAACAUAUGAAUCCAAAUUAACAUGUAUUUAUACUAAAGUAAUACAAAAAUGAGUACAAAAGAUUUAGAAGUGAGUAGUUUUUCGAGAUUUACGAUUAUACUGUAAAUCACUUUCACGAAUCAGCCCCCAAAUAUAGUCUCCCAUAAUGUCUCCCAUAAUUGGAAACAUAAAAUAAUAAAAAUGUUUAUUUUAUUAAAUUUCAGUAAAACAUACUUGAAUGCAAAGAUUUCUACAUAAACAUCCAUAUAUAUUUUUAUUUAAAAAAAAAAAAAAAGCCUAUUACAUAUAUGACUUAGUGGACACAAACCGGACCUCUGGAUUGAGGUUGAUUACUUCAUCUCACUAAACUCACCUCUUCAGACAGCACCUGUAAAACUCCUCUGUUUUUCACCUGGGACACUAUCACCCUUCCUUAAAUGCACUCUUAUCUGCCCCCUAUUUUACUGCAUUUAAUCCUGUACUUCAGAAUACUGUAAUCUGCCAAGUGUUUAAUCUGUAGUAUUUUGUAUUUAAUCAUAUCUUGAUGUAACUAUCACUGUCACUGUUAUCUGCUGUAUUAUUGAAUUGUAUUUUGUCACACUUGUACUUGCUUGAACCAAAGUCAUUGUAUUUAUCUUGCUCUUAUUGUAUUACUUGUACUGUAACACUUGAAAUGUAUUUGCUUACGAUUGUAAGUCGCCCUGGAUA